GUGCCUACGGGGGGCAGCAGUGGGGAAUAUUGGGCAAUGGGCGCAAGCCUGACCCAGCAACGCCGCGUGAAGGAAUAAGGCCCUACGGGUCGUAAACCUCUUUUGCCGGGGAGCAAGGGCCGGGACGAGUCCCGGUCCGGAGAGUACCCGGAGAAAAAGCAUCGGCUAACUCCGUGCCAGCAGCCGCGGUAAUACGGAGGAUGCGAGCGUUAUCCGGAUUUAUUGGGUUUAAAGGGUGCGUAGGCGGGCUUUUAAGUCAGCGGUAAAAAUUCGGGGC
RNAcentral lists this ribosomal RNA (277 nucleotides) under uncultured bacterium. RNAcentral describes it as "partial 16S ribosomal RNA". It matches the Rfam family "Bacterial small subunit ribosomal RNA", at positions 335 to 608 of the family's 1533-position model. The record is from RNAcentral.